RNAcentral lists this non-coding RNA (46 nucleotides) under Trichobilharzia regenti. The record is from RNAcentral. Lineage: Eukaryota; Metazoa; Platyhelminthes; Trematoda; Strigeidida; Schistosomatidae.
GUACUAAUGAAGAGUCCCAAACUAGAACGAAACGGCUGUCCAAUAC